AGAGUUUGAUCAUGGCUCAGGACGAACGCUGGCGGCGUGCCUAAAACAUGCAAGUCGAACGACCCUUUCGGGGGUAGUGGCGAACGGCGUAGUAAUACAUGAGAAACGUGCCCUUAAGACUGGGAUAUACCGGGGAAACCCGGAGCAAUACCAGAUGUGACGGAGUUGUGGCAUCACAAUUCCAUUAAAUGGUUUUUCGCUUAAGGAGCGUCUCAUGGCCUAUCAGGUAGUUGGUGAGGUAAUGGCUCACCAAGCCGACGACGGGUAGCGGGUCUGAGAGGAUGAUCCGCACGAGUGGGACUGCGACACGGCCCACACACCUACGGGUGGCAGCAGUUGGGAAUCUUGCACAAUGGGGGAAACCCUGAUGCAGCGACGCCGCGUGGACGAUGAAGGCCUUAGGGUUGUAAAGUCCUUUUUUGGGGAAAGACUUAGGACGGUACCCCAAGAAUAAGCUCCGGCUAACUACGUGCCAGCAGCCGCGGUAAGACGUAGGGAGCAAGCGUUGUCCGGAUUUACUGGGCGUAAAGAGCUCGUAGGCGGCUUGUUAAGUGUGAAGUGAAAUCUCCAGUGCUCAACACGGAAACUGCUUUACAUACUGGCAAGCUUGAGGAAAGCAGAGGUAACUGGAAUUCCUGGUGUAGCGGUGAAAUGCGUUGAUAUCAGGAGGAACACCCAUGGCGAAGGCAGGUUACUGGGCUUUAUCUGACGCUGAGGAGCGAAAGCGUGGGUAGCAAACAGGAUUAGAUACCCUGGUAGUCCACGCCCUAAACUAUGGAUACUAGUCGUGAGAGGUAUCGACCCCUCUCGUGACCGUAGCUAACGCGUUAAGUAUCCCGCCUGGGGACUACGGCCGCAAGGUUGAAACUCAAAUGAAUUGACGG
RNAcentral lists this ribosomal RNA (884 nucleotides) under uncultured bacterium. RNAcentral's name for it is "bacterial SSU rRNA". It matches the Rfam family "Bacterial small subunit ribosomal RNA", at positions 8 to 916 of the family's 1533-position model. The record is from RNAcentral.